This 10398-nucleotide long non-coding RNA is filed under the name Salmo salar (Atlantic salmon). Its description in RNAcentral is "lncRNA (ENSSSAG00000091848.1)". The record is from RNAcentral. Lineage: Eukaryota; Metazoa; Chordata; Actinopteri; Salmoniformes; Salmonidae.
CCCACUCCCCUGGCCAACCAAUCUGUGAGCAGGAGGAGAGAGAGGGACAGAUGGGAGCAGUCCAUUCUAGCCAAGCCCCAUCCUCCAGGCCAGGGAAGGGCCUAUAAGGUGGGUGGGUGGGGUUUGGAUCUAAUGAUGUUCCAAUAUCCACACUAGAACACCUCUUCCAUUCUAUAAUGUAUUCUAGAACACCUCUUCCAUUCUAUAAUGUAUUCUAGAACACCUCUUCUGUUCUAUAAUGUAUUCUAGAACACCUCUUCUGUUCUAUAGUGUAUUCUAGAACACCUAUUCUGUUCUAUAAUGUAUUCUAGAACACCUCUUCUGAUCUAUAAUGUAUUCUAGAACACCUCUUCUGUUCUAUAAUGUAUUCUAGAACACCUCUUCUGUUCUAUAAUGUAUUCUAGAACACCUCUUCUGUUCUAUAGUGUAUUCUAUAUCACCUCUUCUGUUCUAUGACGUAAUCUAGAACACCUCUUCUGUUCUAUAAUGUAUUCUAGAACACCUCUUCUGUUCUAUAACGUAUUCUAGAACACCUCUUCUGUUCUAUAACGUAUUCUAGAACACCUCUUCCGUUCUGUAACCUAUUCUUAAAUACAUUGCUUCAUUCUAAGUAGUAUGUCACUGGACAGAAGUAGAGCAACAGCUGGGUUUUUACAUACCAACAGGUGUUUAUACUAGACACUAGUCCUCCACCAGAAACAUGACAUUGAGACUGUUCCAGAGUGCGAAUUACAAGGGGGGGGGGCCUAAAUCCAACUAUGGGGGAGGAGAGGGUCUCUAAAUAAUGCUAAUAGUAAUUUCCAUGUAAAAGGGCCCACGAGCACCAAGAGGGCCCACGAGCACCAAUAGGGCCCACGAGCACCAAUAGGGCCCACGAGCACCAACAGGGCCAACAGGGCCCACGAGCACCAACAGGGCCCAUCAGCACCAACAGGGCCCAUGACCACCAACAGGGCCAACAGGGCCCACGAGCACCAACAGGGCCAACAGGGCCCACGAGCACCAACAGGGCCAACAGGGCCUACGAGCACCAACAGGGCCAACAGGGCCUACGAGCACCAACAGGGCCCACGAGCACCAACAGGGCCCACGAGCACCAACAGGGCCAACAGGGCCCACGAGCACCAACAGGGCCUAUCAGCACCAACAGGGCCCAUGACCACCAACAGGGCCAACAGGGCCCACGAGCACCAACAGGGCCAACAGGGCUCACGAGCACCAACAGGGCCAACAGGGCCUACGAGCACCAACAGGGCCAACAGGGCCUACGAGCACCAACAGGGCCCACGAGCACCAACAGGGCCCAUCAGCACCAACAGGGCCCAUGAGCACCAACAGGGCCAACAGGGCCUAUGAGCACCAACAGGGCCCAUCAGCACCAACAGGGCCCAUGAGCACCAACAGGGCCAUCAGGGCCCACGAGCACCAACAGGGCCCAUCAGCACCAACAGGGCCCAUCAGCACCAACAGGGCCCACGAGCACCAACAGGGCAACAGGGCUUACGAGCACCAACAGGGCCAACAGGGCCCACGAGCAUUAACAGGGCCUAUGAGCACCAACAGGGCCCACGAGCACCAACAGGGCCCACGAGCACCAACAGGGCCCAUCAGCACCAACAGGGCCCAUCAGCACCAACAGGGCCAACAGGGCCCAUGAGCACCAACAGGGCCCAUCAGCACCAACAGGGCCCAUGAGCACCAACAGGGCCAACAGGGCCCAUGAGCACCAACAGGGCCCAUCAGCACCAACAGGGCCAACAGGGCCUACGAGCACCAACAGGGCCAACAGGGCCUACGAGUACCAACAGGGCCCAUCAGCACCAACAGGCCCAUCAGCACCAACAGGGUCAACAGGGCCCAUCAGCACCAACAGGCCCAUCAGCACCAAUAGGGCCAACAGGGCCUACGAGUACCAACAGGGCCCAUGAGCACCAACAGGGCCCAUCAGCACCAACAGGGCCAACAGGGCCCAUCAGCACAAAUAGGGCCAACAGGGCCCACGAGCACCAACAGGGCCAACAGGAUCCAUCAGCACCAUCAGGGCCCACGAGCACCAACAGGGCCCACGAGCACCAACAGGGCCCAUCAGCACAAAUAGAGCCAACAGGGUCCAUCAGCACAAAUAGGGCCAACAGGGCCCACGAGCACCAAAAGGGUCCAUGAGCACUAACACAGCAGCCGUGUCAAAUUGGAGGUCAAAUGAAAGCUAAGAGCCGAGCCCCCCCCCCCCAUCCUAUAAAUGAUGAAUAAACAAAGACUUUGAUUUCUGGUCAAACAGAUGGAAACGGGGUCUUAGAAAACAUCUCUCAGAAACACCCUUACAAGGUGUUAUAAAUACAGCAAUCAAUCCAAUGUAUUUAUAAAGCCAUCAGCUGAUAUCACAAAGUGCUGUACAGAAACCCAGCCUAAAACCCCCAAACAGCAAGUAAUGCAGAUGUAGAAGCACGGUGGCUAGGAAAAAAACUCCCUAGAAAGGCCCGAGAACCUAGGAAGAAACCUAGAGAGGAACCAGGCUAUGAGGGGUGGCCAGUCCUCUUCUGGCUGUGCCAGGUGUAGAUUAUAACAGAACAUGGCCAAGAUGUUCAAACGUUCAUAAAUGACCAGCAGGGUCAAAUAAUAAUAAUCACAGUAGCUGUAGAGGGUGCAACAGGUCAGCACCUCAGGAGUAAAUGUCAGUUGGCUUUUCAUAACCGAUCAUUCAGAGUUAGAGAGAGCAGGUGCUGUAGAGAAAGAGAGGUAGAGACGGCAGGUGCGGUAGAGCGAGAGAGAGGUAGAGACAGCAGGUGCGGUAGAGAGAGAGAGAGGUAGAGACAGCAGGUGCGGUAGAGAGAGAGAGAGGUAGAGACAGCAGGUGCGGUAGAGAGAGAGAGGUAGAGACAGCAGGUGUGGUAGAGAGAGGGGUAGAGACAGCAGGUGCGGUAGAGAGAGAGGGGUAGAGACAGCAGGUGCGGUAGAGAGAGAGAGGGGUAGAGACAGCAGGUGCGGUAGAGAGAGAGAGGUAGAGACAGCAGGUGCGGUAGAGAGAGAGAGAGGUAGAGACAGCCGGUGCGGUAGAGAGAGAGAGGGGUAGAGACAGCAGGUGCAGUAGAGAGAGAGGGGUGGAGACAGCAGGUGCGGUAGAGAGAGAGAGGGGUAGAGACAGCAGGUGCAGUAGAGAGAGAGAGGUAGAGACAGCAGGUGCGGUAGAGAGAGAGAGGUAGAGACAGCAGGUGCGGUAGAGAGAGAGAGAGGUAGAGACAGCAGGUGCGGUAGAGAGAGAGAGAGGUAGAGACAGCAGGUGCGGUAGAGAGAGAGAGGUAGAGACAGCAGGUGCGGUAGAGAGAGAGACAGUCGAAGACAGCAGGUGCGGUAGAGAGAGCGACGUAGCAUGUCCGGUGAACACACAAAUAAUGUUGAAGACCCCUGCAAAUGAAUAUCAACACUUAACUGUAUAUUUAGUUUUGGAGACAUUUUUCUGCCUUCUGUGAGUUUUUAAGAAAUAUUUCCUUGUAUCUUGUAAUUCUGUUACCACAACCACAAUAUUGUCUAAAUUUCUCUCACUCAUGAGGAGGAGGAUCAUGACAGUUCACAACAACAAGUAAAGGUAGACCUACCAAUUAGUUAUAGUUAUUUUACUGAUAUACAUGUUGUUUAUGAAUUAUCAAGUGAUUGAAACUUGAAAUUCCGUUACCAAAUCGGUAAUGGAAUUUUCCCCAAACAUUUGUAACGGAAUUUCUGCAAUUGAAUUUUCUACAAUGGGCAAUCAUAGUAGUAACAAACCACAUUUGGGUUCACAAGUUUGGACAGUAGAGUAUAGUACAGUAGAGUAUAGUACAGUAGAGUAUAGUCUAGUACAGUAGAGUAUAGUAUAGUACAUCACAGUAUAGUAUAGUAUAGUACAUUACAGUAUAGUAUAGUAUAGUACAUUACAGUAGAGUAGAGUUCAGUACAGUACAGUAGAGUUUAAUACUGUAGAGUAGAGUAGAGUAUAGUAUAGUACAUUACAGUAUAGUAUAGUAUAGUAUAGUACAUUACAGAAGAGUAUAGUACAUUACAGUAUAGUACAUUACAGUAGAGUAGAGUAUAGUAUAGUACAUUACAGUAGAGUAUAGUAUAGUACAUUACAGUAGAGUAGAGUACAGUGCAGUAGAGUUUAAUACAGUAGAGUACAGUAGAGUUUAAUACAGUACAUUACAGUAGAGUAGAGUUCAGUACAGUACAGUAGAGUGUAAUACAGUAGAGUACAGUAGAGUAUAGUAUAGUACAUUACAGUAGAGUAGAGUUCAGUACAAUACAGUGGAGUUUAAUACAGUAGAGUACAGUAGAGUAUAGUAUAGUACGUUACAGUAGAGUAGAGUACAGUACAGUAGAGUUUAAUACAGUAGAGUACAGUAGAGUUUAAUACAGUAGAGUACAGUAGAGUUUAAUACAGUAGAGUACAGUAGAGUUUAAUACAGUAGAGUACACAGUAGAGUUCAGUAGAGUAUAGUAUAGUACAUUACAGUAGAGUUCAGUACAGUACAGUAGAGUUUAAUACAUUACAGUAGAGUAGAGUUCAGUACAGUAGAGUUUAAUACAGUACAGUACAGUAGAGUUUAAUACAGUAGAGUACAGUAGAGUUCAGUACAGUACAGUACAGUAGAGUUUAAUACAGUAGAGUACACAGUAGUGUUCAGUAGAGUACAGUAGAGUAUAGUAUAGUACAUUACAGUAGAGUACAGUACAGUACAGUACAGUACAGUUUAAUACAGUAGAGUACAGUAGAGUUUAAUACAGUAGAGUACUCAUUAGAGUUCAGUACAGUAGAGUAGAGUAUAGUACAUUACAGUGGAGUAGAGUUCAGUACAGUACAGUACAGUAGAGUUUAAUACAGUAGAGUACAGUAGAGUUUAAUAAAGUACAGUACACAGUAGAGUUCAGUAGAGUAGAGUUCAGUAGAGUUCAGUAGAGUAGAGUUCAGUAGAGUUUAGUAAAGUACAGUAGAGUACAGUAGAGUUCAGUACAGUAGAGUUCAGUAGAGUUCAGUAGAGUAGAGUAGAGUAGAGUUUAGUAAAGUACAGUAGAGUACAGUAGAGUUCAGUACAGUAGAGUUCAGUAGAGUAGAGUUCAAUAGAGUUCAGUAGAGUUCAGUAGAGUAGAGUUCAGUAGAGAUCAGUCGAGUUCAGUAGAGUUCAGUAGAGUAGAGUUCAGUAGAGAUCAGUAGAGUUCAGUAGAGUAGAGUUCAAUAGAGUUCAGUAGAGUAGAGUUCAAUAGAGUUCAGUAGAGUAGAGUUCAGUAGAGUAGAGUACAGUAGAGUUUAGUAAAGUACAGUAGAGUUCAGUACAGUAGAGUUCAGUAGAGUAGAGUACAGUAGAGUACAGUUGAGUUCAGUACAGUAGAGUUCAGUAGAGUAAAGUACAGUAGAGUACAUUAGAGUUCAGUAGAGUAGAGUUCAGUAGAGUAGAGUAUAUUAGAGUUCAGUAGAGUAGAGUUCAGUAGAGUAGAGUACAUUAGAGUUCAGUUCAGUAGAGUUCAGUACAGUACAGUAGAGUUCAGUACAGUAGAGUUCAGUAGAGUAGAGUACAGUAGAGUUCAGUACAGUAGAGUACAGUACAGUAGAGUUCAGUGGAGUUGAGUACAGUAGAGUUGAGUUGAGUACAGUAGAGUUCAGUACAGUAGAGUACAGUACAGUGCAGUACAGUAGAGUUCAGUACAGUAGAGUAGUGUACAGUAGAGUUCAGUGGAGUUGAGUACAGUAGAGUUCAGUACAGUAGAGUUCAGUACAUUAGAGUUCAGUAGAGUUCAGUAGAGUACAUUAGAGUACAGUAGAGUUCAGUAGAGUAGAGUACAUUAGAGUUCAGUAGAGUAGAGUUCAGUAGAGUAGAGUACAGUAGAGUUCAUUACAGUACAGCACAGUAGAGUACAGUAGGGUUUAAUACAAUACAUUACACACAAUAGUUUAAUACAGUACAGUACACAGUAGAGUUUAAUACAGUACAGUACACAGUAGAGCACAUGAGUUAAGUGCAACUGUACUGUACAUUUUAGUCAUUUAGCAGACGCUCUUAUCCAGAGCGACUUACAGUAGUGAAUGCAUACAUUUCAUACAUUUAAAAAAAAAAAUCGUACUGGUCCCCCGUGGGAAUCGAACCCACAACCCUGGCGUUGCAAACACCAUGCUCUACCAACUGAGCCACAUGGGACUGUACUGUGCUGUAUUCUACUGUUCUGUAAUGUACUGUAUUCUACUGUACUGUAAUGUACUGUAUUCUACUGUACUGUACUGUAUUCUACUGUACUGUACUGUAUUCUACUGUUAUUUACUGUACUGUAUUCUACUGUACUGACCUGUAUUCUACUGUACUGACCUGUAUUCUAGUGUACUGUUCUGUACUCUACUGUACUGUACUGUAUUCUACUGUACUGUACUGUACUGUAUUCUACUGUUAUUUACUGUACUACAUUCUACUGUACUGUACUGUACUGUACUGUAUUAUACUGUUCUGUACUGUACUGUAUUCUACUGUAUUCUACUGGACAGUACUGUAUUAUUCUGUUCUGUACUGUACUGUAUUCUACUGUUCUGUACUGUACUGUACUCUGCUGUUCUGUUCUGUACUGUACUGUACUGUAUUCUACUGUAUUCUACUGUACUCUGCUGUACUGUACUGUAUUCCACUGUUCUGUUCUGUACUGUAUUCUACUGUACUGUUCUGAAUUCCAUUGUAUUCUACUGUUCUGUUCUGUACUCUACUGUACUGUACUGUAUUCUACUGUACUGUACUGUACUGUACUGUACUGUACUGUACUGUAUUCUACUGUUAUUUACUGUACUACAUUCUACUGUAUUGUACUGUACUACAUUCUACUGUACUAUACUGUACUCUACUGUUAUUUACUGCCCUGAAUUCUACUGUUCUGUACUGUACUGUAUUCUACUGUACUGUACUGUAUUAUUCUGUUCUGUACUGUACUGUAUUAUUCUGUUCUGUACUGUACUGUAUUCUACUGUACUGUUCUGUAUUCCACUGUAUUCUACUGAUCUGUUCUGUACUCUACUGUACUGUACUGUAUUCUACUGUUCUGUACUGUAUUCUACUGUAUUCUACUGUACUGUAUUCUACUGUUAUGUUCUGUACUCUACUGUACUGUACUGUAUUCUACUGUUCUGUACUGUAUUCUACUGUAUUCUACUGUACUGUAUUCUACUGUUCUGUACUGUUCUGUACUCUACUGUUCUGUAUUGUAUUCUACUGUACUGUACUGUAUUCUACUGUACUGUACUGUAUUCUACUGUUCUGUACUGCUCUGUACUCUACUGUUCUGUAUUGUAUUCUACUGUACUGUACUGUAUUCUACUGUUCUGUACUGUAUUCUACUGUACUGUAUUCUACUGUAUUCUACUGUACUGUAUUCUACUGUUCUGUACUGUUCUGUACUCUACUGUUCUGUACUGUAUUCUACUGUACUGUACUGUAUUCCACUGUAUUCUACUGUUCUGUACUCAACUAUAUUGUACUGUAUUCUACUGUAUUCUACUGUACUCUGCUGUACUGUACUGUAUUCUACUGUUCUGUUCUGUACUGUAAUGUAUUCUACUGUUCUGUACUGUACUGUAUUCUACUGUAUUCUACCAUACUCUGCUGUACUGUACUGUACUGUAUUCUACUGUAUUCCACUGUACUGUACUGUAUUCUACUGUUCUGUUCUGUACUGUAAUGUAUUCUACUGUUCUGUACUGUACUGUAUUCUACUGUAUUCUACCAUACUCUGCUGUACUGUACUGUACUGUAUUCUACUGUAUUCCACUGUACUGUACUGUAUUCUACUGUACUGUACUGUAUUCUACUGUAUUCUACUCUAUUCUACAGUAUUCUACUGUUCUGUACUGUACUGUAUUCUACUGUUCUGUACUGUAUUCUACUGUAUUGUACUGUGCUGUAUUCUACUGUACUGUACUGUAUUCUACUGUACUGUACUCUAUUCUACUGUUCUGUACUGUAUUCUACUGUAUUCUACAGUACUUUAUUCUACUGUAUUCUACUGUAUUCUACUGUUCUGUUCUGUUCUUUGAUGUCCAAACUUGUGAAACAUAGACUUGUAUGAUUGGUUCAGAUUUUGUCCCGUGAUGAUAUUCCCCCGGGGGGAGUCAUACGUUUUAAGAGAUGGUUUAAACCAUGUUUUUCCCACGUGGCUGCACUUGUCAUCCUGGGACAGUCCCGUAACUCAGCCACUUGUCAUCCUGGGACAGUCCCGUAACUCAGCCACUUGUCAUCCUGGGACAAUCCCGUACCUCAGCCACUUGUCAUCCUGGGACAGUCCCGUACCUCAGCCACUUGUCAUCCUGGGACAAUCCCGUACCUCAGCCACUUGUCAUCCUGGGACAGUCCCGUACCUCAGCCCGUUUUCAAGUGUCCCAACUUUUCUUUCUACAAAAAAAGGUAAUUUUGGCAGCAAGACGCACACGUUAAUUUAGGCUACAAGAGAGUGUAGAUUCAAUGACAAUCACCGAACGUCAUUCCACUUCUUGGUGUUUUGUUCCAGAUGUCUCUUUCCGUUCCUCUAAUGGCUGGUGCGCUGUCUGGAUGCUGGAGUUAUUUUAGAGAAAUUAAAAAUGAAAAGUUAAUAAAAAAAAAUCUUUACUGUUAAAUUACUUUUUUUUUUAUCCCCCCCCGAAUGUCACAUUAUAAUUCGCACUCUGGAUUGUUCAAUUCAUUUGAAGAAUUAGAAAUGAAUUGAAUUCAAAAUUAAUCUCCUGAAUUGAUUGGAGUGAAAUGGAAUUGAUCCCACCCCUGAUUGUAAAGCUCAACAGAUAAUUGGUUCAGUCUCUCAACAGAGUUGGUUCAGUCUAUCAACAGAGUUGGUUCAGUCUCUCAACAGAGUUGGUUCAGUCUCUCAACAGAUUUGGUUCAGUCUCUCAACAGAGUUGGUUCAGUCUCUCAACAGAGUUGGUUCAGUCUCUCAACAGAAUUGGUUCAGUCUCCCAACAGAGUUGGUUCAGUCUCUCAACAGAGUUGGUUCAGUCUCUCAACAGAGUUGGUUCAGUCUCUCAACAGAGUUGGUUCAGUCUCUCAACAGAGUUGGUUCAGUCUCUCAACAGAGAACUGAUUCCCUCUACUCUACUCUAUCCAUGACUGAUUCCCUCUACUCUACUCUAUACAUGACUGAUUCCCUCUACUCUACUCUAUACAUGACUGAUUCCCUCUACUCUACUCUAUACAUGACUGAUUCCCUCUACUCUACUCUAUACAUGACUGAUUCCCUCUACUCUACUCUACACAUGACUGAUUCCCUCUACUCUACUCUACUCAUGACUGAUUCCCUCUACUCUACUCUAUCCAUGACUGAUUCCCUCUACUCUACUCUAUCCAUGACUGAUUCCCUCUACUCUACUCUAUACAUGACUGAUUCCCUCUACUCUACUCUACUCUAUACAUGACUGAUUCCCUCUACUCUACUCUACACAUGACUGAUUCCCUCUACUCUACUCUAUACAUGACUGAUUCCCUCUACUCUACUCUACUCAUGACUGAUUCCCUCUACUCUACUGUACUCAUGACUGAUUCCCUCUACUCUACUCUACUCAUGACUGAUUCCCUCUACUCUACUCUAUACAUGACUGAUUCCCUCUACUCUACUCUACUCAUGACUGAUUCCCUCUACUCUACUCUAUACAUGACUGAUUCCCUCUACUCUACUCUACACAUGACUGAUUCUCUCUACUCUACACUCCCUUCCUCUCCUCUACUCGUCUUGCCAUCUCCUUUAUUGAUCCCUCCCGAACUGUAAAUAAAAUAAACUGAAUAGAUUCCUCUUUUGUCAUGAUCUAAUCCAUAAAGGGUUAUUAUUAAACUAAGGCCUGUCCCCUGUAGAGAGUCUCUUUGUCCCAGCAUGCACUCCAUUCUCAAUAUUGUGCUUCUUUUGACUAGACCCCAAGUAGUGCACUAUGUAGGGCAGUGUUUCCCAACUCCAGUCCCCCGUCCUCCAAACAGCCCAACUCCAGUCCUCCAAACCGCCCAACUCUAGUCCCCCGAACCGCCCAACUCCAGUCCCCCAUGUCCCCCAAACCGCCCAACUCCAGUCCCCCAUUCCCCCAAACCGCCCAACCCCAGUCCCCCAGUCCCCCAAACCGCCCAUCUCCAGUCCUCCAGUCCCCCAAACCGCCCAACUUCAGUCCUCCAGUCCCACAAACCGCCCAUCUCCAGUCCUCCAGUCCCCCAAUCCGCCCAGCUCCAGUCCCCCAAACCGCCCAGCUCCAGUCCCCCAACAGCCCAACUCCAGUCCUCCAGUCCCCCCAACAGCCCAACUCCAGUACCCCCCAACAGCCCAACUCCAGUCCUCCAGUCCCCCAACAGCCCAACUCCAGUCCUCCAGUCCCCCAACAGCCCAACUCCAGUCCUCCACUACCCCCAACAGCCAAACUCCAGUCCUCCAGUCCCC